Gossypium raimondii (Peruvian cotton) is the source of this 123-nucleotide non-coding RNA. The record is from Rfam. Lineage: Eukaryota; Viridiplantae; Streptophyta; Magnoliopsida; Malvales; Malvaceae.
AAUAAGAGAAUGACAAAUCAUAUUUUUCCUCCUGAUUUUCAACUUUUUUCUCAUAAAAAAAUUUAAAUCCAACUAUAACUGCUAAAAAUCAAGAGAAAAAAUCUGAUUUAUCAUUCUUUUAUU